This 403-nucleotide ribosomal RNA is filed under the name bacterium. Its description in RNAcentral is "partial 16S ribosomal RNA". It matches the Rfam family "Bacterial small subunit ribosomal RNA", at positions 355 to 776 of the family's 1533-position model. The record is from RNAcentral. RNAcentral also lists the same sequence under 2 other names.
UGGGGAAUAUUGCACAAUGGAGGGAACUCUGAUGCAGCGACGCCGCGUGAACGAAGAAGGCUUUCGAGUCGUAAAGUUCUUUUAUAUGGGAAGAUAAUGACGGUACCAUAAGAAAAAGCCCCGGCUAACUACGUGCCAGCAGCCGCGGUAAUACGUAGGGGGCUAGCGUUGUCCGGAAUCACUGGGCGUAAAGGGUUCGCAGGCGGAAAUGCAAGUCAGGUGUAAAAGGCAGUAGCUUAACUACUGUAAGCAUUUGAAACUGCAUAUCUUGAGAAGAGUAGAGGUAAGUGGAAUUUUUAGUGUAGCGGUGAAAUGCGUAGAUAUUAAAAAGAAUACCGGUGGCGAAGGCGACUUACUGGGUUCAUUCUGACGCUGAGGAACGAAAGCGUGGGUAGCAAACAGG